UGUCUCAGAGGUGAAGCACUGGUCCAGGUGUGUGUCUGUAGGUGUGUGUCUGUAGGUGUGUAUUCACUGUGUCUUUUGUCUCCAGAGGUGAAGCACACUGGUCCAGGUGUGUGUCUGUAGGUGUGUGUCUGUAGGUGUGUGUCUGUAGCUGUGUGUCUGUAGUUGUGUAUUCACUGUGUCUUUUGUCUCCAGAGGUGAAGCACACUGGUCCAGGUGUGUGUCUGUAGGUGUGUGUCUGUAGGUGUGUAUUCACUGUGUCUUUUGUCUCCAGAGGUGAAGCACACUGGUCCAGGUGUGUGUCUGUAGGUGUGUGUCUGUAGGUGUGUGUCUGUAGCUGUGUGUCUGUAGCUGUGUAUUCACUGUGUCUUUUGUCUCCAGAGGUGAAGCACACUGGUCCAGGUGUGUGUUUGUAGGUGUGUAUUCACUGUGUCUUUUGUCUCCAGAGGUGAAGCACACUGGUCCAGGUGUGUGUCUGUAGGUGUGUGUCUGUAGCUGUGUGUCUGUAGGUGUGUAUUCACUGUGUCUUUUGUCUCCAGAGGUGAAGCACACUGGUCCAGGUGUGUGUCUGUAGGUGUGUGUCUGUAGCUGUGUGUCUGUAGGUGUGUAUUCACUGUGUCUUUUGUCUCCAGAGGUGAAGCACACUGGUCCAGGUGUGUGUCUGUAGCUGUGUGUCUGUAGCUGUGUGUCUGUAGCUGUGUGUCUGUAGGUGUGUAUUCACUGUGUCUUUUGUCUCCAGAGGUGAAGCACACUGGUCCAGGUGUGUGUCUGUAGCUGUGUGUCUGUAGCUGUGUGUCUGUAGCUGUGUGUCUGUAGGUGUGUAUUCACUGUGUCUUUUGUCUCCAGAGGUGAAGCACACUGGUCCAGGUGUGUGUCUGUAGCUGUGUGUCUGUAGCUGUGUGUCUGUAGCUGUGUGU
Molecule: non-coding RNA, 914 nt
Organism: Labrus bergylta (ballan wrasse)
Lineage: Eukaryota; Metazoa; Chordata; Actinopteri; Labriformes; Labridae
Source: RefSeq, a predicted model, not a curated record